This is a long non-coding RNA of Sander lucioperca (pikeperch), 1259 nucleotides long. RefSeq lists it as uncharacterized. The record is from RefSeq and is a predicted model, not a curated record. Lineage: Eukaryota; Metazoa; Chordata; Actinopteri; Perciformes; Percidae. The transcript is spliced from 2 exons.
UAAAGAAAUGCCAAUAAACCAGAGCACGUUUUUCUCCCAUCCAGGAAUGCUGUCCGGUAAUGCGAGACUAGUAGUAGCCUAGCUUAGAUCACGACGCACAUUUUUACUUCCGUAAGGUUGCACCAAUCAUUUCGUACAGCUAUAAGGAACAUAUAGCCCGGUCGUACAAAGUUGUUACCGGUAAUCACAUCAGGGUAAUAAUGUGAACUGAAACUUUUGAUGUUAUUAUUAAGUUAUAGCGGUAUGUUGAUGUUUGUUUCCAGUAACCUGGAUUAGAAAAUAUAGUCACAACUUAAAAGAAACGAGUGUAUUGAUUAACAGAUGAAACCUUUUUUCGUCCAGAUGUUUUUUUGAAGAGUCUUUGAGGAUUCUGCAAAGACCUUCAGCUAACAACAACUAUUGUUACCUGAAUUAGUUCCAGGGUGGAGAACAGUGGAAAUAAAAGCAGAACCUGCGACAGUGGCUACAUGUUGAGUUCAUGUAGUGGAAAAAGUGAGUUGAUACAGCAAAGAGGGUAGACCGGGCGCUCACUGACUGCUCUACAUCAGAUAUAUUUUGUCCUGUCUAAUAACGUGUCAGAAGCACGUUUGAAACCCCUUUACGAUAUGUGUAACCCUGUCUUGAAACAUUCCUUAUUUGAGUUAUAUCGAACAUCUUUGAGCGUUGAAAGUUGAUCUUGCUUUUACUGAAGCGGGUGAUGAUACUACCUAAAAAGCCAUUUCUCGGUAGAAACACAACUGUAGUAAUACUUGACAAAAAACCCUAACUUUAUGCAAUAUAUUCAUGUAUAUUGAUGCUGUAUUUGUGUGUUGUGAUCAACAAAUGAACUUGCUAUAAUUCCCUCCAUCCUGAUCCUUGUGUGAGAAGUGUUUCAUGUCGCAGCUCGGACUUUGCCGUCAUUUCAUAAUUGAGUAUAUUUAUGUAUGUCAGUAUACACUCACAAAGUACUUCUGAGAAGAGUUGAAGGGGCUGACAAUGCUGUGAUUAACUCUCUACAGAGCCAUUGUAAAUGUAGUGGAUUUUAUGGAGUUGCUGUAUUUUCAAUGCGUUAGUCAUUCCUUAUGUCGGCUGUGAUCUGUCAACCAGAUGUGUAAUAUAUAAAUAUAUAUAUAUAUGUACGCGUGCAGUUUCUUUGUUUGUAUUUGCUCAGUUUGUGGCGAAAUCAUUGCCGGUUCAUAUGAGAUCACGUCUGUUGUUCUGAUAAUGUGUGAAAACGUAUUUUUUUCCAGAUUAAAUGUGCGAACAUGUCAUCAGUCAGA